Molecule: ribosomal RNA, 442 nt
Filed under: uncultured bacterium
Lineage: Bacteria
Description: partial 16S ribosomal RNA
Rfam family: Bacterial small subunit ribosomal RNA
Source: RNAcentral
CCUACGGGAGGCAGCAGUGGGGAAUAUUGGGCAAUGGGCGCAAGCCUGACCCAGCAACGCCGCGUGAAGGAAGAAGGCUUUCGGGUUGUAAACUUCUUUUCUGGGGGACGAACAAAUGACGGUACCCCAGGAAUAAGCCACGGCUAACUACGUGCCAGCAGCCGCGGUAAUACGUAGGUGGCAAGCGUUGUCCGGAUUUACUGGGUGUAAAGGGCGUGUAGCCGGGCUGACAAGUCAGAUGUGAAAGCCGGGGGCUCAACCCCCGAACUGCAUUUGAAACUGUUGGUCUUGAGUAUCGGAGAGGCAGGCGGAAUUCCUAGUGUAGCGGUGAAAUGCGUAGAUAUUAGGAGGAACACCAGUGGCGAAGGCGGCCUGCUGGACGACAACUGACGGUGAGGCGCGAAAGCGUGGGGAGCAAACAGGAUUAGAUACCCGUGUAGUC